Molecule: long non-coding RNA, 1411 nt
Organism: Neofelis nebulosa (Clouded leopard)
Lineage: Eukaryota; Metazoa; Chordata; Mammalia; Carnivora; Felidae
Exons: 4
Source: RefSeq, a predicted model, not a curated record
GAAAAAGAAGUGCACUGUGGAGGAAAUUCAUUCAUCAGUACAGACUUGACCUGGAUGAACUUUAAGUGUUUUUGUGUCAAAGAUUUCCAAGAUGUCAUACUUAUUUACACGAAGAGAGUGGCUCUGAAGGCUAUGAUUUAAACCUGGAAACAGACCACCACCGCAAUAAACAAACAGCAAAUGUGAAUCAAAAGGAGUGUCUCACCGAACAAUGGCAGGGUGCCGGCCACACCCAGGAACAUUUGCGGGGCUGUGCUGCUGCUGAUACUCAAGAGACUUCAGCUGGUGCCAGCCCGCCCCAGAAAAAGUGCGCGAGAUAGUGUAGCAGCAGCGUUUCAGGGACUAUGAAAAAUCACAAGGCACAUCUGGCACCAGGCUUCACCCUUAACGACCUUGUUCCAGCACCAGCGAAUGUGGUUGUUCUCCCAGGUCCACUGGGGCCUUGCCUUUGGGGGACCCACACAGCCUCCACCAGGUGUCCUCCCAGCAGGGGAACCGCCUCUCCCCGUGUGGCCUGAAGAACCCCGGACUCCACUCUGCUCCUGAGGAUUCGCCCGUCUUACCAGAGCACCACCAGGAGUUUAUAAACCGAUAUUUCUACCAUGACAAUGAUGGCUACAAUACAUGAAAUUCCAUGUACAGACACUGUGCUGAUAUUAUAUGGUAAACUCUUUAUUAUUCAGAAAAUAAGACUUCUAUGGUAAGAAUUCCCUAUUCCCUCUUUCACAAAAAAAAUUAUCCUUCACCUCCUGGGCAGAGGGAAAGGGGUUUUGCCAGUUUAAAAAAGCUGCAUCUUACAUUCAAACUCGUUUCCUUGGCAGGACACAUCCUUAACAACAUUUGAAAUCCUUGAAAUCUUUUCUCUCCUGCUGCAUAUAAGCUACUGGUACUCAAACCAUCUUUUGGACAUAUGAUUACCAUCUCAGAAACCUCACUGUCCACCACCAUCCUUCGUUCUUUACAGCAUCCCGUCUUUUCAUGCAUUUAAGUAGAAUCACCCCCUCUUUUUGCAAGCGGAUUUCUGUUCCCUGGAUCACAUUAUCUGAUGCGCUAACAACCCUUCCAGAAAUAAUGAUCCUGUGACGCGUGGUCCGCUCCUCUUUCUCCAGAGCUGCAUCACUGAUUUUUUUUGAAAGUGGAUGAAAACAUCAAGUAGCUCAAUCUAGUUUGCUUUUAUGUGUGGGGGAAAAAUGACUCCAUUUUGUUUUACUGUAUUCUGUGUUUUUUAAAAAAUAUCAUUAAAUGCUGAUCAUAUCUUUUAUAACUUAUAGAGACCUGGAAUAUGUUUCAGAAUGGCUGUGAACUACAUUUCUGAGGAAUUUUAUGUUAGAGGAGCCGUUUGUGGCUGACAAAGCAUGCUAAUAAAUUGGAUCCUGUCCCUAUUUCAAGCCCCCCAUGGACCCCACUAUUA